This is a long non-coding RNA of Thunnus maccoyii (southern bluefin tuna), 2041 nucleotides long. RefSeq lists it as uncharacterized. Lineage: Eukaryota; Metazoa; Chordata; Actinopteri; Scombriformes; Scombridae. The transcript has 3 exons. The record is from RefSeq and is a predicted model, not a curated record.
AUUCUGCUGUAUUGAUACUUUUACUGCAGUAAAGGAUCUGAGUGCGUCUUCCAUCGCUGCUUUAGGACAGUAAAUGUGUGGACGGAAACGGCAGCAGAGUGAGAGCUCUGCAUUUCUCCCUUCCAGCCGCCAUCCUGCAGAAAUCCCAGAGGAAUUCUGGGAAUGACGAGCAGCAGGAGGCCUCGGUGUUCAGCCUGCAGCUGGCGUCCGGUUAUCAGAAAGGAAAACAUGAAUUGAUACGCAGACAUAUACGAGGGCCGAGAGGAAUGUGUCAAACAUGACAAACUGGUGUUGUUUCUUUAAGGUUUGUGUUAUUUUAACAUUUCUGACAGCGUGUGGAGGCUGAGUUCAGCAGGUGUAUUUAAAGAAACAUCUGCAGUUAUCAGGACUGAUGAUUGAUGAGUGUUCGUGUUAUCAGCUGACAGACUGCAGUUAAUAUCAGGUUAUCCGGCAGGAACGUUUCUCCAACAGAUACCAGGAGGAACAACACUGACAUCACCGCAGUGACCCCGACACAAACAGCUGAGGAGGAAACCUAAACUCGUCUAGGUUCCUUAAAGAGCAUCGUAUCAUCACGUGUUCACCCUAAAAGAAAAUUUUAGGUUCUUCAUCUCUUCCCGUCUCUCACCCCGUUCUUGGAGAAGACGCUGUUCAUCCACUUGGUGAAGGUUUUCUUCUGGACCGCCAUCCUCUGCUCCUGCAGCUCUCGGACCCGCCCCGCCCCGUCCUCGUCCCCCUCCAUCCUGAUUGGCUGUUAAAAAGGGACAAAACACAGCAUUAAUGUUUCCUCAGGUAAACACCUUCAGAGACUGAAAAGAGACUAUUUUAACCCCGUUAUCAGUGGCCUUUUAUUAACAACACCUGUACAGCCUGAAAACUGCUUAUAAACACUAAUAUUUUCCUCCGGAGAUGCUUCUUUCAAAAUUUAAGAGUCUUACGUAGAGGAAGCAGGUUUCUGGUUUCAUAUUUUUAGGUCUGAAAUCUUGCCAUGAAACCUUUUAUAUAAAAAUCUGCUGCAAGUUUGAUGAUUUAGGACGAUUCUGAUUUCCAUUCUGUGCAGCUGAUGUACAAAAGUCUCUCAGUCUUAAUGUCCUCAUGCAGCGCUGUGUCCUACAAAUUUAUAUACAGCAAAUCUGCAACAGCAAAUACAUGUUCUCUCCAUGUCUGCGUGAUGAACAUGAGCUUCAUCCCACAUUCACUGGAGUGAAUGUGAGUGUGGAUGGUUGUCUGUCAGCCCUGUGAUUGACUCCCUACACAUCUCGCCUAAUGUCAGCUGAGAUCUUCUCCAGCUCCUCCACGAGCCUCUAGAGGACCAGCGGUAAAGAAAACGGACGGACAGAUGAUGAGGAAACAUUUUUAGUCGUUCUAGCAGCACGGCGCUACGGGUGGAAACGUCGGUCAGGCUGUGAUAUCUCGAGAAUGAUUGGAUGGAUUUCUAUGAAACUUGGUUCAGACAUGCAUGUUCCCCAGAGGAGGAAUAAUCCCCACUUUAAUGAUCAUCUGACUUUCCCUCUAUAGCGCCACCAGCAGGUUGACUGGUGGCGUAUUGAACAAAGUCUCCCUGCCAGCAAGUCAAGACAGUUUUUAUUUAUAAAGCCCGACAUCACAAAUGUCAAAUGCUUCAGGGAGCUUUACAAUCUACACAGUGAUACAACAUCCUCUAUACUUAGAGCCUUGAGUCAAAUAAGGAAAAACUCCUAAAAAAUUCCUUUAAUGGGGAAAAAAUGGACGAAAGAUCAGCAGCGGCGGCGGAGGAUUCCUCUCCCAGGACGGACAGACUGGAAAUAGAUGUCGUGUGUUCAGAAUAGAACAAAUUACAGAAAUACAACAAGGUCAAACAAAAUGACUGUCUUUUGCUUAUCGAAGGUGGAUUCUGAUGUAACGUUUCCUCUGGUUGGUCAAGACUUUCACUGAGUCAGUGUCAGUUAAAGAUUUUAUUUUUAUUUAUGCUGACAGAAGCAGUUACGCCCCUACUAACAACACUGCUGUAAAGAUUCCACGUGUGUGUGUGUGUGUGUGUGUGUGUGUGUGUGUGUGUGUG